Molecule: RNA transcript, 4576 nt
Organism: Populus trichocarpa (black cottonwood)
Lineage: Eukaryota; Viridiplantae; Streptophyta; Magnoliopsida; Malpighiales; Salicaceae
Exons: 3
Source: RefSeq, a predicted model, not a curated record
UUAAAAUAGAUAAAUAAUUUUUUUUCUCAGAAACUAAAAAAUCUUCAAUUUCUUAUAGUUGCCCUGUCCUCUUGGAUUCCCUAACCUCUCCCAGGAGUUUAAAUAUGGAAGCUUGAAGCGAAAUUCCCAAUUCCUAAUAAUUGGGCUGUUCUCUUGGAUAUCAUGUCAUCUCAGUACCACUCCCUGUACGUUUCUAACGUGCUUUUCUUCCCCUUCAAACAACACCACAGACUCACUGUACUAUGUGUGGCUUAAAGUUGAGUCCGCAGACAGGAUGGUAGUUCAUCCAGGAAGCCUCGCCUCUGAACAUAUCUCUUCGACAAAGCGCAGGAAGGCAAAGAAAGGAAAAGUAUGCAAAUCAAAAAACCAAGAGGGAGCAUGCAUGACGUGGUACUGCAUGAUGCGCAUAGCUAGAAGUUUCGUGAACUCGAGAACUCAGAGAUGGAAUUGCUGCGGGGGAGAGAAACGUCAGCUGUGAUGAGAAGCAAAAUUAAGUGGGUAAGCUAAAAUUUGUCCUCCCUUUAGUUUGGAGGCUUUUUUUUUCAAGUAAAAUAUAUGUUGAUAUCAUUUUACUCUCGAUAUCUAUAUGUUUUUUUAACCAUUUAUCAACUUCUUCUUUUUUAUGCGGAUGAAGUUAUUUUUUUCUCAGGUUGAUUACAAUUCUCUCCUUAAAAUUUCGGAUAGUAGUUUCUAAUUUUAAUUAACCAUUGAGGUUUUAAGUCAUUUUUCAGAUUUUUUUCCUUGAAAUUUGACGUUUUAAUUCCAAAUGCUAGUGAUGGAAACAAAUUUCUUAAGCUUAGUCACAUUUGAUACUUAGGUGGUCGAUUCUGCCGGGCUUAGCCUCCUUUGAACCCAGGGGCGGAGCCUUUUAUAAGGCUAAGGAGGGCUGUGAUCCAGGUUAAAAAAAUUAAUAAUCUACUUUCCUUUUUCUUUUUUACACAGCAAACAUUCCACUUUCCCUAUUUUUUACACAAUAAACCUAGUGUUCCACUUUUCCUUGCAAUAUAAAUUAAUUAGCAGCCAUUAACUGUACACUUUACUUUCCCAAGCAACACUAAUUAAUUAGCCACCUAUCUUCCCAUGCAAUACUAAUUAAUUAGUUAUAUUUUACAAUAAAUCUAUCUAAAUAUAAAUAAUUAAUUGGUUCACAUGUCUUCCAAAUUACUUAGGGUUUUAGCUAUUUUUCUUCUGAACAAUAUAUAAUUUUAGCUUGGAUUUUGAAGAAGAAUCUAUACAGAGCCGCGCAAGAGUAUAAAAUCAUCAGGUAAGAAUUUACAAGCCCUGACUUUUCAUUUUGAAUUCAAUGUUUCACAUUCAUUACAGUAAAUUGUUAUUAGAGUAAACAGUAGACUGUACCCUAGAAAUGGAUGCAUGCUAACACACUAGUAGUCUAGUACUAAUAAUUUACUGGUUAUUUCAAAGUUAGUUCUCCAAAUCUCCCAGUAGUUUGCAUCACUAGUUUAUCCUUGUAUAUUCUGCAUUUUAUGAAUAUUCUAUUGUGGCAUUAGUAUCUUUUCAUCAUGCACCUGACUUCCCUAAUCCCUUUUACUUGAAUAGGUUAUAAAUUAUAAUGGAAAAUCAAGGAAACAAGAGAGGAAAAACUAUGUUUUCAUUCUUUAAACCAAACGAACAAGCAUCAACCAGUAAAGGACAUUCUCCAUCCAAUGUUGAUGUCUCAAAUCGUAGUGAACAACCCCCUUUCAGAUCUCAAAGAGUUGAAAUUGAUGUUAAUACUCUUGAACGAGAUCCUGAGUUACGAAUUCCAAUGUGGAAACAUCCUAUUAAUCUACAAGAUGAAAUUAGAAGAGCUUAUAUCAAAAUGGGUCCAUAUCAACCUAAGUUAGCAGAGUAUCCAAGGACCGAAUCAGGGAGACAGUAUCGUCGAUUUCAAUACACUUGGUUUGAUCAAUUUCCUCGGCUAAAGUACUCUCCAUCAAAGGAUGCAGUAUUUUGUUUUCCAUGCUUUAUCUUUGAAAAAAAAGUGCCCGUCAUCUCACAUUCACCACCGAAGGCUUUAGAAGUUGGAAGAGGGUUAAUGAUGGGGUUAGAUGUGCACUUUUGAUGCAUGUGGGAAGUCCCACUUCACCACAUAAUAAUGCUGUGAAAUCUGCUAAAGAUUUAAUGAAAAUAAGUAGACAUAUUGAUAAAGUGUUGAAUGCACAAACUGUUGAAGAAGUUCAGAAAAAUCGGUUGAGACUUAUGACAAUAAUUGAAAGUGUUCGAUGGCUUAGCUUACAAGCAUAUGCAUUUAGAUGUCAUGAUGAAUCUUCGGCUUCUAAUAAUCGAGGCAAUUUUUUGGAGAUGAUAAGACUUAUAGGGAGACUGAAUGUUGACAUUGAUGAUGUUGUCUUAGAAAAAGCUUCUGAAAAAUGCAAAGUAUACCUCGCUGACUAUUCAAAAAGAGAUUUUGCAUAUUCUCGCGAACAAAGUGAGGAAAAAGAUUUGUGAAGAAGUUAGAGAUGUAAAGUUUUGUAUUUUGGUUGACGAAGCCAAAGAUGCAUCAAAUAAAGAACAAAUGGCUAUUGUUUUGAGAUUUGUUGACAUUCAAGGUUUUGUACGAGAACCCUUUUUUAGUAUUGUGCAUGUUUCAGAUACUACUUCUUCAACACUUAAAAAAAAAAUUGUGAUGUGCUCGCUCGAUAUAACUUGCAUAUUUUCAAUAUGCGAGGUCAAGGGUAUGAUGGUGCUAGCAAUAUGCGUGGUGCAUGGAAUGGACUAUGAGCUCUAUUUCUCAGAGAUUGUCCUUAUGCAUAUUAUGUACAUUGCUUUGCUCACCGACUACAACUGGCAUUAGUUGCAAUAGCUGGAAAUGAGAUUUCUAUUUGGUUAUUUUUCUCAAAAUUGACAACCAUUAUCAACCUUAUUUGUGCUUCUCCCAAACGUCAUACCGAGUUACAUUAUGCUCGGGCUAUAGAAAUUGCACAUAUGGUAGCUACUGGAGAACGUGAGACUAGUAGAGGGGCUAAUCAAAUUGGUAAUUUACAUUGAAGUGGAACUGCUCGCUGGAGCUCUCAUUUUGAUUCUAUUUGCAGCUUAAUAGAUAUGUAUAGUGCAACUAUUACUGUGCUUGAAAGUAUGGUUCAAGAAGGAUCUUCUAAUUCUAUACGUGGAGAAGCUGGUGGUUGUUUGAUUGUGAUGAAAUCUUUUAAAUUUAUAUUCAUUUUAUAUUUGAUGCAUAAAAUAAUAGGGAUUACUUAUUUACUUUGUCGAGCUUUGCAGCAAAAAUCUCUUGACAUCUUAAAUGCAAUGGAUCUUGUAUCAACUACUAAAGCAUUGCUUCAAACUUUGAGAGAUGCCGGAUUUGAUCUUCUCCUUGCAAAUGUGCAAUUUGUUUGCACAAAAUAUGAGAUUGACAUACCACAUAUAAAUGCUUCGUAUAAAAAGGCUACAGGUCGUUCAUGUCAACAACAAGGUUCAGUGACAGUUUACCAGCAUUAUCAUUAUGAUAUAUUUAACUCAAUAAUAGAUUUUCAGUUAGAAGAAUUAAAUUCUAGAUUCAGUGAUGGGAUAGUGGAACUCCUUAUACUUAGCUCUGCUUUAGAACCUAAGGACAACUUUAAAUCAUUUAAAGUUGAUGCUAUUUACAAGCUUGCUGAGAAAUUUUAUCCUGAAGAUUUCAAUGAACAAGAGAUGUAUUAUUUGAGAUCUCAGCUAAAGCGUUAUCAGAUUGAUGUGAUUCAUCAUGAGAGCUUUCAGAAUAUGUCUACCAUUUCUGAAUUAUGUCGAGGAUUAGCCGAAACAAAUAAGUCGCAGUACUAUCAUUUGAUUGACAGGUUGAUUCGUUUUGUUUUGACUUUGCCUGUUUCCACUGUCACUACAGAGCGGAUAUUUUCAGCUAUGAAACAUGUUAAAACUGUGCUUCGCAAUAAAAUGAAAGAGGAGUUCUUAGCAGAUUCUAUAAUGAUUUACAUUGAACGAGAGCUUGUUGAAGAUAUUGAUUCGGAUUCGAUCAUAGAUGAAUUCUAUUCUACAAAACAUCGAAGGGUGCAGCUUUAAUAGUAUAAUUUAUUUUUAUUUUUAUUUUGAAUUUUAUGUACUUUAAAUUUCAUUUUUUAUAUAUUUUAUGUUAUGUAUUUGAAUUAAAACUUUAUUAUUAACUUGAUAAAUUUAUAUAUCUGAGUGAAUAAUUGAUCUUAAAAAAUAAUUUAUAUAUAUUUUUAUCAUAGCCCAGGAUAUAAAAAAUUCAUGGCUCUGUCCCUGCUUGAACCCACCUCAAUCCCUUUUUAAUUGUGGGGGUGGAUCUUCCAAAUCUUUGAGUUGCCCUUCAAAUCAUAGGAAUGUGUCUUUAAUGUCUAGAUUAUAGAAUAUCCCCAGUGAGCUGGCCUCACUUGUGUCCUCCAUGUUAUCACAGCCACGCCAUGAGUUCGGAGGCGGGUAGUAAAAGCAUCAUUCCCAAUAUCUUAAAGCAUGUUGGAUUGAAACAAAGAUGGUAAUAGCAUUAUUGAAGAUUACAUAACCAACAUGGGACGGCCAACGAGUACCCUUCUUUUAUUGAGGUUAGAACACCGGCCAGCUAUUUCAUCCUCAGACGCCGCCGGUUUCCGGGACCGACCGACCAAUCACCUGCUCAGGUAGU